CUGCGGCGCUGGAAUCGCUUUUGGCGCCGUAGUUUUAGCUCGAACCGCAGCUCACAAAGCCGUGGUUCUUAUUUGAAAUAUAUGACGACCAGCAGGGGCAUCCGGGCUGGUGCCCGGACUAUCUGCGGGAUCCGUGGUGGCUUUACCGAAGUCGCUAGACUUCGGAAGCCCGCGCGGUUUCUACGCCGGUGGUGUCCCCUUACCGAGGGUGACCA
Regulatory RNA element from Pseudomonas taeanensis MS-3, 215 nucleotides. It matches the Rfam family "sucA-II RNA". The record is from Rfam. NCBI's taxonomy places the organism in Bacteria, Pseudomonadati, Pseudomonadota, Gammaproteobacteria, Pseudomonadales, Pseudomonadaceae.